Molecule: unclassified non-coding RNA, 258 nt
Filed under: Hevea brasiliensis (rubber tree)
Lineage: Eukaryota; Viridiplantae; Streptophyta; Magnoliopsida; Malpighiales; Euphorbiaceae
Source: RNAcentral
GCGCCAUUUUUUCUAUAUUUUCUGUAUUUCCUCUUACAGCUCCAACUUCUAUAUUCUCAGAAUUUUGCCCCUCAACACCAUCAACCAGGUUCAUCAUGCUUUCCAAUCUCUUCACAUGAUCUCCAAGGAAGGAACUCAGACUUUUUUUGAAGGCUUCAGAACAAAUGCCACCAAGAGCCAUAUCAUACUUUACUAGUAAAUCUUCCACCAUAUUGGAGAUUUCUGAAGGAGAUACGUAGUCCUCUUCUCCAGCAGGAC